Molecule: transfer RNA, 74 nt
Filed under: Pyramimonas orientalis virus
Lineage: Varidnaviria; Bamfordvirae; Nucleocytoviricota; Megaviricetes; Imitervirales; Allomimiviridae
Description: tRNA-Ile
Rfam family: tRNA
About the family: Transfer RNA (tRNA) molecules are approximately 80 nucleotides in length. Their secondary structure includes four short double-helical elements and three loops (D, anti-codon, and T loops).
Source: RNAcentral
GUUCCAAUAGCUCAGUUGGUUAGAGCGUCGUACUUAUAAUGCGAAGGUCACGGGUUCAAGCCCCGUUUGGAACA